RNAcentral lists this ribosomal RNA (416 nucleotides) under uncultured eukaryote. Its description in RNAcentral is "SSU rRNA". It matches the Rfam family "Eukaryotic small subunit ribosomal RNA", at positions 567 to 981 of the family's 1831-position model. The record is from RNAcentral.
CCAGCAGCCGCGGUAAUUCCAGCUCCAAGAGUGUAUAUUACAGUUGUUGCGGUUAAAAAGCUCGUAGUUGGACUUUGGGUUGGAUUGCACCGGUCUGGGUUUCCCAGGCCAGCAUUUCCUUCCUUUUCUUUAGAACGUUGCCGUUAGCUCAUACCUGCGGGUGUGGGUUGCGGGUUUUGUAGGGUUUACUUUGAAAAAAUUAGGGUGUUUAAAGCAGGCGCAUCGCCUUGAAUACAUUAGCAUGGGAUAAUAGAAUAUGACCUUUGGUCUAUAAUUUAUUGGUUUCUAAGGCCGAGGUAAUGAUUAACAGGGACAGUUGGGGUCGCUUGUAUUCAGUGGUCAGAGGUGAAAUUCUAAGACCCACUGAGGACAAACAAAUGCGAAGGCAUUCGACAAGGAUGUUUUCAUUAAUCAAG